This 254-nucleotide ribosomal RNA is filed under the name uncultured bacterium. RNAcentral describes it as "partial 16S ribosomal RNA". It matches the Rfam family "Bacterial small subunit ribosomal RNA", at positions 524 to 776 of the family's 1533-position model. The record is from RNAcentral.
UACGUAGGGUGCGAGCGUUAAUCGGAAUUACUGGGCGUAAAGCGUGCGCAGGCGGUGAUGUAAGACAUAUGUGAAAUCCCCGGGCUCAACCUGGGAACUGCAUUUGUGACUGCAUCGCUGGAGUACGGCAGAGGGAGGUGGAAUUCCACGUGUAGCAGUGAAAUGCGUAGAGAUGUGGAGGAACACCGAUGGCGAAGGCAGCCUCCUGGGCUAGUACUGACGCUCAUGCACGAAAGCGUGGGGGAGCAAACAGG